AACGAGCGGCCUUUAAGCAACAGCACAACACAACACAACACACCACAACAACACAACACGAUACUCUCCAUCGCAACAACAAUAAAUAUCUCCUUCUCCCACUUCUCUCGCUCCCCAUCCUCUUCGUCUCCUCAUACCCCACCAGCUUCGACAAUCGCGUAGUGAACCACACUAUCAAAGCAUCCUGCAAGUUCAAGCUGAAUAGUUUUCGACUGAAAGUUUUCACGCAGCCCAUUUCAUCCCCUCAUUCCCUUCUUUCACGUAUGUUCCUCACUCAGCCUUCGUCCAACCCUUACUGUCAUCCUCUUUAAACGAUUUUCAUUGUACUGCUAGUACUCUGCCAAUCCCAAGUCUGCCACACAAUUUCAUCUGGUGUCUGUCCAAAAGUACUAGACGGCGUCUCCUGAAUCUCGCUAAACCGGUUCUAUCGUGAUUAGAGCCUCAGGCCUCAAAAAACAGCUGUUUGACGCUCCAGAUCCAGGCUGGGCACUCUGCCCUCUGCAACACCAUGCGCACUCGAUCGCAGCCAAUUUCCCCAAACGGGUUUCAGUCGCUGGAAAUCGCUCCUCGCAGACGGAAGGCGCAGACAACCGCGACUGCCUCCAGGGCCACCAAGGUCACCAAGCCCGCAGCGGAGGCAAGCGCCAAAGUUGAGAAAAAGAAACCUGGAAAGCGCGGCCCCAAGAAAACGUCGAAGAAAACCGCGAGCAAGUCC
Molecule: small RNA, 715 nt
Filed under: Histoplasma capsulatum
Lineage: Eukaryota; Fungi; Ascomycota; Eurotiomycetes; Onygenales; Ajellomycetaceae
Also listed under: 1 other name
Description: hypothetical RNA
Source: RNAcentral